CAAAGAAUAGUUUAAUAAAAUAAUAAUUUUGGAGAUUAUAGAUAAGAAUAAAUUCUUUUCUUUGA
This 65-nucleotide transfer RNA is filed under the name Delias hyparete (painted jezebel). RNAcentral's name for it is "tRNA-Pro". Lineage: Eukaryota; Metazoa; Arthropoda; Insecta; Lepidoptera; Pieridae. The record is from RNAcentral.